GUGCCUAUGUCUGGGAGGGAGGGAAGAUGGCAGCCGUGGCGGCAGGCGGCCUGGUGGGAAAGGGGCGCGACAUCAGCCUAGCGGCCCUGCAGCGCCACGACCCCUAUAUCAACCGCAUCGUGGACGUGGCCAGCCAGGUGGCUCUGUACACCUUCGGCCAUCGGGCCAACGAGUGGGAGAAAACUGAUGUGGAAGGAACCUUAUUUGUUUAUACAAGGUCUGCUUCUCCAAAGCAUGGAUUCACCAUUAUGAAUAGGCUGAGCAUGGAAAAUAGGACAGAACCUAUUACUAAAGACUUGGAUUUCCAACUCCAGGACCCUUUCCUUCUCUACAGAAAUGCCAGAUAUGAGGAAACUGAGACUCCAGUGAGGAGGCAGACUGUGUAAAAACCCACAGAUUCUGAUUUCACUUCCGUUGCUUUUUCCACACCACCUGUACUGCUCUACUAUUAAACAUGGAUGCAAAUUAAAGUGUCCAUCUAUGGAAUUUGGUUUUAUGAUAAGGAAGAAUGCCAAAGAAUUGCAGAGCUUAUGAAAAACCUAACUCAGUAUGAACAGUUGAAAGCCCAUCAGGGAACUGGAGCAGGAAUUUCCCCAGUGAUCCUCAAUUCAGGAGAGGGCAAAGAAGUAGACAUUUUACGAAUGCUCAUCAAGGCCAAAGACGAAUACACAAAGUGUAAAACCUGUUCUGAGCCAAAAAAGAUAACCAGUUCCUCUGCCAUCUAUGACAAUCCAAAUCUCAUCAAACCAAUUCCAGUGAAACCCAGUGAAAACCAGCAACAGCGUAUACCUCAGCCCAACCAGACCUUAGACCCUGAACCCCAACACUUAUCCUUGACAGCUCUGUUUGGGAAGCAGGACAAAGCUACAUGUCAGGAAACUGUGGAGCCUCCGCAGACUCUCCACCAGCAGCAGCAGCAGCAGCAGCAGCAGCAAGAGAAGCUUCCAAUUAGGCAGGGGGUUGUACGCUCCCUGUCCUAUGAGGAACCCAGAAGACACUCACCCCCCAUUGAGAAGCAGCUCUGUCCAGCCAUUCAGAAACUCAUGGUCAGGAGCGCAGACCUCCACCCAUUGUCAGAGCUGCCUGAAAACCGGCCUUGUGAAAAUGGCAGUACCCAUUCUGCGGGAGAAUUUUUUACAGGACCUGUCCAGCCAGGGUCUCCUCACAACAUUGGAACUUCUCGUGGUGUACAAAAUGCUUCCAGAACUCAGAACCUGUUCGAGAAACUUCAGAGUACCCCAGGGGCAGCAAACAAGUGUGACCCUAGUACACCAGCACCUGCCAGCUCAGCUGCCCUGAACCGCAGCAGAGCUCCCACUUCUGUCACCCCUGUGGCUCCAGGAAAGGGUCUGGCUCAGCCACCACAGGCCUAUUUCAAUGGCUCCCUUCCACCUCAGACAGUAGGACAUCAGGCUCAUGGAAGAGAACAGUCCACACUCCCAAGACAAACACUCCCCAUCUCUGGUAGUCAGACUGGCAGCUCUGGAGUGAUCUCCCCUCAAGAGUUACUGAAGAAGCUUCAGAUUGUACAGCAGGAGCAGCAGCUGCAUGCCUCUAACCGGCCAGCCUUGGCCGCUAAGUUUCCUGUGCUCGCUCAGAGCUCUGGAACAGGGAAACCCUUGGAAUCCUGGAUCAACAAGACACCCAACACAGAACAGCAGACUCCUCUUUUCCAGGUCAUCUCACCUCAGCGCAUCCCUGCUACAGCAGCUCCGUCUCUGCUUAUGUCCCCCAUGGUGUUCGCACAACCCACCUCCGUCCCGCCAAAGGAAAGGGAGAGCGGCCUCUUGCCUGUGGGAGGCCAGGAGCCACCUGCUGCUGCCACCAGCCUCCUCCUGCCCAUACAGAGCCCGGAGCCCUCCGUGAUCACCAGCAGCCCACUCACCAAGCUCCAGCUCCAGGAGGCACUGCUGUACCUCAUUCAGAAUGAUGACAACUUCUUAAAUAUAAUCUAUGAAGCCUAUCUCUUCAGCAUGACUCAAGCAGCCAUGAAAAAGACUAUGUGACAGCAAGGCCUUUUAAAACUGAUUUUCAAGGUCCUUCUAGAACUCCGGCACAAGUGCAGAGUGGACCUCCAGCAAACUCCAGCAGACCUGCAGCAGAGGGGCCUGACUGUUAGAAGGAAAACUAACAAACAGAAAGGAAUACCAUCAACAUUAACAAAAAGGACGUCCACGCAAAAACCCCAUCCGAAGGUCAUCAGUGUCAAAGAUAAAUCCACGAAGAUGGGGAAAAAACAGUGCAAAAAGGCUAAAAAUUCC
Molecule: RNA transcript, 2261 nt
Organism: Homo sapiens (human)
Lineage: Eukaryota; Metazoa; Chordata; Mammalia; Primates; Hominidae
Gene: DCP1B
Gene name: decapping mRNA 1B
Exons: 11
Source: RefSeq, marked reviewed